CCCCAAACUCCUCCGUUAGUCCAGCGGAGACCAAGAUGCCCGAGGAUCGCCGUGUCGCGGCGGAGGACGGCGAAGGCCCCGCUGGAGACGAAGAUAUCGCUGAUCUCCUCCCUCUCCCUCUCGUCCGAUCCCAGCUGAUCCCCCCCGCUCCCAACCGCCGUGCGUCGGCUAUCGACUGGCUGCCGGACUUCGGCGGCGCCUCUUGGAUUGCGUACGGCGCCGCGUCUCUUCUCGUCAUCUCCCACUUCCCUUCCCCUCUCUCCUCCCAUGAAACCCUAGUCGGUCCUUUCUUCCAGCAGGUCAUCGACCCGCCCGUCUCCGCUGCCGGAGACGGCCCCGCAGCCGUGAACGCGGUCGCCUGGUGCCCUGCCCACCCGUCCGAAGGAGAGAUCGCGGCGGCCUUAGGGAAUAGCAUCUGGAUGUACUCGCCGGUCCUUGACAACGAAUCCGGUUCUUUCUGUUGGAAGCAGACUGUAGACAUUGCAGUGACCUUUACUAUAGAGGCCAUCGAAUGGACAGGUUCUGGUGAUGGGUUGAUUGCAGCUGGUAUUGAGGUGGUUUCAUGGAUAAGAAGGAGCACCUCUUGGGAAAUGGCAUGGAAGUUGAGAGCAAAGGUGCCUCAAUCUCUUCUUUCUGCAACCUGGUUUGCUGAAGGACCUGUAGCAACAGCUGCUUAUUCAUUGGUUCACUCCAGUGGAAUAAAUGCAGAAGUAUUCUCUUUCUCAAGAGAGGAACAUAAGUGUGUUUCAGUCUAUCACAAUGAUGGGAGUUCUGGAAUAACAGAAGUUCAGCUCCAUCAUCCUCAAUCUGUUUCAAUGAUUCAGUGGAGGCCAUUCACUGGGACACAAUUUGAAAAGGAUGCUUCACCUGCAUCAAGGGAUGUGCUGUUGACAUGCUGCUUGGAUGGAACUGUAAGACUCUGGAGCGAGAUUGACAAUGGGAGGGCUAGAAAAUUCAAUAAGGAAACACAUGAUCUGAAGACAAGAAGACGAUCUUACCAUGUUAUUGCAGUAAUUGAAAUAAACCAGUGUUUGAGGGGAACUCUUGGAGUAGACAUUUUCAUAAAAUGGGCAAUUGAAUUUGGUGGUGUAAUUUGUAAAGGUGAAGGAGAUGGUAUGUAUUUAUCAUCCGCUGGUUCUGAUCAUGGUCAGAUUGGCAAAUGUGAGUGGUUGAUAAGUUUGGGCCCUAGAUCCUCUGUUACUUACUGGGCAAUCCAUUGCCUUGAUGACAUUGCCCCCACACGUUCUCCACGGGUGACUUUGUGGAAAAAACAAGACAUAGUGGACUUAAAAGGGUGCAAAUUUUCUGAGUCUGACUUCUCAAGUUCUAAAGACCAGCCUAUCCUUGUUAAAGUUGUUGAUUCAAGGAGCUGGCUUUGUGGCCCACCUGAGGUCUGCUCUUUGCUUCAGUUGUUGCCCAAUAGUUCAGUUCAUUGGUCACAGUUAUAUAAUCCCCUGCCAAAUGAUAGGGAGGAUAAAUCUUUAAGUAAACUCAGUAAGGAAAGAAGUCUUUCAUGUUUUUCAGGUGGAGUUCUAAAUCAAGAUGGACACACGGGGAACAUCAUACAAGUUGCUCUGCAUCCAUAUAGUUGUGAAAUUGAACUUGCUGUUUCUUUGGAUUCUGAUGGCUUUCUUCUUUUCUGGUCCCUUUCUGCCUUCUCCAAUUGCACUUUGAGCAUGCAAACAGUUGUACAUCCUGUAUGGAAACUUCUGGGGAAAGUUACCUUGCGAGAUUUAUCCACUGAUAUUGGAUAUUCAUGUCUGACCUGGGCACCAUCAAUUUUGGAUGAUGAGCGAUUCCUUCUCCUGGGAAAUGCUUAUGGAAUCGAUUGUUUUAUUGUUAAAAUUUCUGAAAAAGGGGAGAAUGUGUUAUGCCAGAAGAUGUUCACAAUUCCCUUUGCUGGCUGUAAUCAUGGAGGACCACCAGAUCACAUUUAUUCAGCACCUUUAGCUUCCAAAUGUGGGUUAUCUUUUCUUUCUAAUAGUUUCUUGUUAUUUUGUGUAUGGACAACGAAGUUUCAAGCUUUAUCAUGGAAAGUUGCCCUGCACUCUGAAUCUCCAUCUGGAAGCAAUGGUCAAUGUGGCUGUGAUGCUAAAGGCAUUGCUGAUUCAGAAGAAGGGAGACAUGUUAGUUCUUUUGAAAGUCAAGUGUACUCUACUACCAUUUACCCAGGCUCAUCAGACCUACCAGCGCCUCAAAAUUGUGAUCAGAUUACCAGUGUUGCUGUAGUUUCCUUGGAUAAUUCUAUGCUACCCAUCCAACAAUCUGCAGCUUCUUGUGGUGGUUUAUGCAGCGACUCUGUUAGUUACGACAUGGCUACAGGCUGCUCUGAUGGCACUUUGAAACUUUGGAAAAUGUCUUAUGCAGAAUCUCCUCUUCAUUCUGAGCCGGAGAGGCUCCUUUGGAAGCUAGUCGGUAUGUUCACAGCACAUCAGGGCCCGGUCAGUGCAAUUUCUUUAUCCAUUCAUAAUAGUAAGAUUGCAACUGUCAGCAUGGAUGGUCAUAAUAGCACUGCAAGGCUUCAUAUCUGGGAACCUAUAUGCCUGAUAGGUAGUGGGAGUUUUCUGUUAGAAGAUGCAAUAAUAUUAAAUGGGCCUGUUAUUGCUAUAAAUUGGUUAUCCAUUGGUAAUGGCCAGUUGUUGCUUGGAGUCUGCCUCCCAAAUGAGUUCCAUGUAUAUUCUCAGAAAAUGUCUUCUGACCAGAAUCUGGUAAAAUUGGAGGGAUUGAAGGAGAUGCAUGUUUGGUAUUGCCUUGCACGAUUGCAUUCUUACCCUGUUUCUAAAAAUUUCCUUUGGGGACCUAAGGUGACUCCUGUGCUUGUUCAUGAGAAACAUCUUUCUGUCUUAAGCCAGUGGUUAUUCAGAGCAGAAACAAAGUCAUCAGAAAAUGCGAGUAAUAAGGAAAAUGGCCUCAAGGACCUCACUUUCUGUUCAGAGAUGUCCCAGCAACAAUAUUAUUCUGAUACCAAAAGGGGUUUGCUCAGCAUAAUAGAUAUAGCAGAUAGGCUGCGUGCAUAUCUAGUGGUCUAUCACCCCAGGGCACUUAUCGAAUGUCUGUAUUCAGGUAACUGGAGACAUGCACAAGUUGUUCUGAAGCAUCUGAUUGAAUCUAUCAAGUCUAAUGGAACUUCCACUACUAUUCUGGGGGGCAAUAAUCAGAUAUUGUGCCAUAACAUUCUGGAGAUUCAUUUAUCUAAAUAUUCCGAGGAUACUAUCUCUCAAGAGUUAUGCAAUAAAAGGUUGCAAUGGGGUCAAAAUGUUAGUUCUGAAGUAUCUAGUUUGCAGUUCCAAGGAAAAAUAAGCUGGUCUAUGGUAGGUGAUUCAAUGGCUAAUGCUCCUAAAAAUAUUUCUACUGCCCCCUCUUGGAAAUCCGAGUUCAUCUAUGCUCUCGAGAACACCCAUGACAUUGCUUCCAUUAAAGAUGUGGAAAGAACCCAAAUCCUUGCAAUUGUUGAUCUUCUGGGUGAAGUUGGUGAUUCAAGUCAUGCUUCUGCCUAUGAAAGUCUUGAUGAACCUGGGCGAAGGUUCUGGGUUGCUGUGCGAUUUCAACAUCUAUAUUUUCUUCGAAAAUAUGGGAGAUUGGCUGCUGCAGAAGAGUUUGUUGUUGACUCUGGGUUGGUUGCAUGGGCCUUCCAGUCUGAUUGUCAAGAUGAUCUGCUGAAUUCUGUUUUAUCUGCAGAACCAUCUUGGAUAGAAAUGCGAAAUUUGGGUGUAGGAAUCUGGUAUAUGAAUGCAUCCCAACUACGAACAAGGAUGGAGAAAUUGGCAAGAUUGCAAUAUCUGAAGAAAAAGGACCCAAAGGACUGUGCGCUUUUAUAUUUAGCAUUGAAUCGACUUCAGGUUUUGGCUGGCCUUUUUAAAAUUAGUAAAGAUGAGAAAGAUAAAUUGCUGGUUGGAUUUCUAUCGCGCAAUUUCCAGGAAGAAAAAAAUAAAGCUGCUGCACUAAAGAAUGCCUACGUUUUAAUGGGAAGACAUCAGUUGGAGCUUGCCAUAGCAUUUUUCCUGCUAGGAGGUGAUCCUUCUUCUGCUGUCACUGUCUGUGCAAAAAACCUUGGGGAUGAACAGCUUGCUCUUGUCAUUUGUCGACUUGUUGAGGGUUAUGGAGGGUCACUAGAGCGUCAGCUUAUAUCAAAUAUUUUGCUUCCUAAUGCUAUUGAGAAAGGCGACUACUGGCUUUCCAGCCUAUUUGAAUGGACUUUAGGGAAUUAUUCUGAUUCAGUCAAGGUACUAUUUGAUUUGCACAAUGAGUUACUGAUUGAUAAGUCUGUAACUCUGUGUGACCGUCCUGCCUUUUCAGACCCAAAUAUUGGUCGAUACUGUCUAGUACUUGCAGCCAAAAAUAGUUUUAGAAAUUCUGCUGGUGAUGUUCUGGCUAUGAUGCUGUCCAAGUUUGGAAGAUUGUUGGCUGCAAAAGCCUUGGACAGAUGUGGACUCCCUCUUGAAGCAUUGGAGUGCUUAUCCUCUUCUUUAAUCAUUGAGGGUAAAGAUCGAGGCAGUUUGAUAGAUAUUGCAAGUCAUAAGAUCUUUCAUGGAAUACUGAAUCCUUUCUCAAGUGGUGCGUGCAACUGGCUACUGGGAGAUGUGGCUCUUAAAUUGGAAUCUAAUGUUAAGUUAAAUAUGGCAUUGCAAUACAUAUCAAAAGUGCUAAGGGAUCAUCCAAGAUGGCCUCCCAGUAAUCUAGUCUCGUCCAGAGAAUUAAUUAUCUACAAGGAGCAUGAUACUUGCCAAGAUGAAACUCAGACAGGAGAGUUCAAACAUUACCUGAAGACGCUAUUGUUCACGUUUGAGCAGAAGUUCUCAUUGAAUUCAGUUGACUUAGCCAACAUGAUCCUAAUUUUUGCUUGCAACAAGGAAUUAUUAUUUCUUGGAUACCUAAUGCUACAAGUCAAUAUUUCUCAGGAAGAUGAAAAUGAUCAUCAUGGUCCUCUAAGUUCUUUCUUAAAUCCUGCUCUUUCCAGGCUGCUUUUGAAGGCAAGCCGGGAAAUAUCCUAUUUUGUUGCUCGAUAUGUUGUCUUCUGCUGUUUUUCUGAUUCUGUACUGAAGCUGGUUUACAACAGAGAUUUCACAUGUGAAAAGGACAUGUAUGGUCUGGUUCAUCCUAGGGAUUUUGUUCUGCAAAGUAUAAUCUACCAAUUGAGGAUCUUCAGGUCAAUUUUAAAGCAGUGUGAUAAAGAAUAUUCUACAGAAGGUGUUUCUUUAAAUUCCCGUUCUGUUCUUGAUCUCGUUGAAUUUUGUGUGUUUUUUUCAUCCACUUGGUUUAGGAGACAUUUGAAAGGACUCAUCUUGAUGAUCCGUCCAAUUUUAAAUGCAUUUGUCAAUGGCCGGUCAUCUUUUGAAGGUAUGGCGGGUGAACUAAUGAAAGUUUUACGUCAGACAUCGGAGUUGAUGGUUCAAGAUGUGCCAGGAGAUAGCAUGGGAUGCGUCCCUGAUGCUAUUUGCCAACAAAAGCAGCUUGAACAAAAUGAUUCUUUAAUUCCUUCCAUACCAGAAGAUGAAAAGUGGCAUCUUGUAGGGGCUUGUUUAUGGAUGCAUCUGUCAAAUUCCAUGACAAACCACUUUAGCAAGCUCCCAGUGACAGAAAGGCCUAAAGAUGAGAACAGUAUCAUGGAUCUGAUAAAUCUAUUCCCCCUUCUUGUUGCGAAAUUACUAGUAACCUCACUGUCUUAUGUUUCCUCUUCUUUAGUAAAACAGCUUGCAUCAUUCCUUAGAUGGAAAGCACUAAAGGGUUUACCUAUACCUACUAUUGUAUGGUUAAAUGAGUGUAGUCAGUCUCAACCAGGCUUCUUACAUCAUUAUUUAAAUCAGGAAGUUGCUACUUCGCAAUUGCCCAUCGAGGACAGGAAAUCCUUUUUCAACAUGUUGUGGGAAAUUUCUUUGAAUCCUCAGGAUAUUUGUGCAGAAUUUAUAAAAGAAAGAGUUCCCUGUUUUCCCUGUACUAGCAGGAAGCUCUUUUCAUCCUGGAAAGAUAUGCACAAGGAUUUCUUUGCUGAGUAUGAAAAUGGUGCUUCAACAAACAAUAGAAUAGAAGAUAGGAGCACUGGUGGCAUUCCUGAUGAUGGAACAAAAUCAAUUCUUAGUGGCAUGGUCGUGGACACAGAUGGUUUUGUGGAAACAAGAAGGAAAUGUCCAAGCUCCCCAAGAGGCGCUACUUAUUUUCACAAUCCGAAGGAAGUUGCUAAGAGAAGUGGCGAACUUCUUGAGGCAAUUUGUUUUAAUUCUAUCAAUGAGCAACAAGUUGCGCUUGCAAGCAACCGAAAGGGACUUCUUUUCUUCAACUGGAAAGCAGAAAAACCUUUCAAAGAGCAAGCAGAUUAUAUCUGGUCAGAGUCUGAUUGGCCACAAGAUGGGUGGGCUGGUUGUGAAUCUACGCCGAUUCCUACGUAUGUUUCUCCAGGUGUUGGUCUCGGGAGCAAAAGAGGGGCACACUUGGGGUUGGGUGGAGCAACAGUGGGCAUAGGCUCUUUGGCAAGACCAGGAAGAGACUUAACGGGAGGUGGAGCAUUUGGAAUUCCAGGUUAUGCUGGUAUUGGAGCCUCAGGUCUUGGCUGGGGGGAACAAGAAGAUUUUGAUGAGUCCAUAGACCCUCCAGCAACAAUAGAAAACGUUCGCACCCGAGCAUUAUCCUGUCAUCCUUCAAGGCCUUUCUUUUUAGUUGGGUCUAGCAACACACAUGUCUACCUUUGGGAGUUUGGUAAGGAUAGAGCUUUGGCGACCUAUGGUGUUCUUCCUGCUGCUAAUGUUCCCCCACCUUAUGCGCUUGCCUCGAUAUCUGCCGUGCAAUUUGACCGUUGUGGACACAGAUUUGCUACUGCUGCAUUAGAUGGCACAGUAUGCACAUGGCAACUUGAGGUUGGAGGGAGGAGCAAUGUCCAUCCCACUGACUCAUCCAUCUGCUUUAGCAACCAUGCAUCGGAUGUUGCAUAUGUGGCUGCAAGUGGGUCAAUUAUUGCUGCAGCUGGAUGUAACUCAAAUGGCAUCAAUGUUGUUGUGUGGGACACAUUAGCUCCACCAGCAACAUGUCAAGCAUCUAUUAUUUGUCAUGAAGGAAGUGCCUUGUUGGAAGAGAAGUUAAUGAAUAAUUUGCGAUUCAUUGUGGUGCUCGUUCUCUUUCGGUGUUUGAUAAUGAUGUAGGAAGUGGGUCAAUUUCACCCCUAAUAGUAACAGGGGGAAAAGGCGGUGAUGUAGGGCUGCACGACUUCCGCUUCAUUGCCACUGGAAAGACCAAGCGGCAUAGGCAUUCUAAUGAGCAAGAUUACCUGCCCUCUACUGUGCAUGAGAUGAACUCGGGGACUUCCAAGUAUGGUGAAAAUGCCAAUGGAAUGGUAUGGUAUAUACCGAAGGCUCAUUUAGCAAGUGUCACCAGGAUUUCAACUAUCCCGAAUACUAGCUUGUUCUUAACUGGUAGCAAAGAUGGUGAUGUGAAACUUUGGGAUGCCAAAAGAUCCCAAUUAAUUUUUAAUUGGCAGAAACUGCAUGAGCGACAUACUUUUCUUAAAUCAAACUCCAGAGGCUUUGUGAGGGCUGGUGUGACGGACAUUCAAGUUUUUUCCCAUGGUUUUCUUACGUGUGGUGGAGAUGGUUCUGUAAAAGUGGUCCAGCUCAAAUAAUCUCUUACACGCAAGUUUCAUAAAAUCUAAAAGAAGAAAAGAGAUCUCCCUUCAGAUUAUGGGUUGAAUGGAUUUCUCCAAUGAGCUUCAUCAAGAACCUUUGAGAUCAUCUACCACCGAUGAUGCAGUCUGCCAGGACAAAUAUCGAAGUCUCUUUCCAUGGUUUUCUUGGAUACAGUGGAGAUGGUCCUGUCGAACUGGUCCAGCUCAAUUAAUUUCUUAGACCGAAGUUUGAUAUAAACUAAAAGAGGAAAAGAUUACCCUUCAGAUUGAAUAGGGGUUAAAUGGAUUUUCCCCAGCAAGCUUCUUUGAAAGCCUCCAGAAUCCUUUCAGAUCUCAUCCAGUAUUAUUCUUGGAAGUUACUGGGAGUUCAACCAUCAAGUCCAAAUAUUUCAACUCAUUUUAUAGCUUUAGAAGUCCCACAUUCUAACUUUCUUCAGUAGAGGUACCUGUCAGCAACUGUGGUUUCUUAUGGUCUCGUAUUCACAUCUUUGAUAUCCAAUAUGUUUUCAAUGCUGCUGAAAUGAGUUGUAUUGUUAUCAGUGGGCUCAGUUAUAUCAUCUUAAACCACAGUUAGUCUCCAAUCUUUUAGACAAUCGGCAAAUGCAGUGAGGCCAUUAUUGUGGGGUAAUACCUGCCGGAUUAGCAGCGCCUGGACUAAUUUAUUUUGAUCCACCUUAUAUUACAUUCUUUAUUGGAUUGUAUACCAAUGGGAGCUGGACAUUUUAGCCAGCAUAGAUUUGCUGUUGGACUGAUUACAACUUGAACACCUAACCAUUGCUACUGGUACCUGUAUCUGCUUUUCUUGCCUGCAGCAUGUCUAUAACAUCUUGUUUUGUUAUCAAUUUGAUUAUCGAGUAUAUAUGAUCUCAAAGUAGGGGUUGCUCAGUUCAUUGUAAAAACCUUUCUUAUUGUACAAAAUCUCUGUCAGCUUGCAUGUGCAUAGCCAGACUGGGGACAGAUCUUUUGCUAUCGGUAGGACUGAUGGGUUUUGAGUG
This is a non-coding RNA of Elaeis guineensis (African oil palm), 8604 nucleotides long. The record is from RefSeq and is a predicted model, not a curated record. NCBI's taxonomy places the organism in Eukaryota, Viridiplantae, Streptophyta, Magnoliopsida, Arecales, Arecaceae.